GGUUAAGUGACUAAGCGUACACGGUGGAUGCCUGGGCAGUCAGAGGCGAUGAAGGACGUACUAACUUGCGAUAAGCGCAGAUAAGGCAGUAAGAGCCGUUUGAGUCUGCGAUUUCCGAAUGGGGAAACCCAACUGCAUAAGCAGUUACUGUUAACUGAAUACAUAGGUUAACAGAGCAAACCGGGGGAACUGAAACAUCUAAGUACCCCGAGGAGAAGAAAUCAACCGAGAUUCCGGUAGUAGCGGCGAGCGAACCUGGAUUAGCCCUUAAGCACUCGGUGAAGUAGGUGAACAAGCUGGAAAGCUUGGCGAUACAGGGUGAUAGCCCCGUAACCGACGCUUCAUCGAGCGUGAAAUCGAGUAGGGCGGGACACGUGAUAUCCUGUCUGAAUAUGGGGGGACCAUCCUCCAAGGCUAAAUACUCCUGACUG
This 431-nucleotide ribosomal RNA is filed under the name Vibrio cholerae O1. Its description in RNAcentral is "partial 23S ribosomal RNA". It matches the Rfam family "Bacterial large subunit ribosomal RNA", at positions 1 to 482 of the family's 2925-position model. The record is from RNAcentral. Lineage: Bacteria; Pseudomonadati; Pseudomonadota; Gammaproteobacteria; Vibrionales; Vibrionaceae.